RNAcentral lists this ribosomal RNA (253 nucleotides) under uncultured bacterium. RNAcentral's name for it is "partial 16S ribosomal RNA". It matches the Rfam family "Bacterial small subunit ribosomal RNA", at positions 524 to 776 of the family's 1533-position model. The record is from RNAcentral.
UACGUAGGGGGCUAGCGUUGUCCGGAAUCAUUGGGCGUAAAGCGCGUGUAGGCGGCCCGGUAAGUCCGCUGUGAAAGUCGGGGGCUCAACCCUCGAAUGCCGGUGGAUACUGUCGGGCUCGAGUACAGAAGAGGCGAGUGGAAUUCCUGGUGUAGCGGUGAAAUGCGCAGAUAUCAGGAGGAACACCAAUUGCGAAGGCAGCUCGCUGGGACGUUACUGACGCUGAGACGCGAAAGCGUGGGGAGCAAACAGG